GAUGAACGCUAGCGGGAGGCUUAACACAUGCAAGUCGAGGGGCAGCAUAGGGUAGCAAUACUCUGAUGGCGACCGGCAAACGGGUGAGUAACGCGUAUGCAACCUACCCUGUACAGGGGGAUAACCCGGAGAAAUUCGGACUAAUAUCCCGUAAUAAUAUCCGGAGGCAUCUUUGGAUAUUUAAAGUUCCGACGGUACGGGAUGGGCAUGCGUAACAUUAACUGGUUGGUAAGGUAACGGCUUACCAAGGCUAUGAUGUUUAGGGGUCCUGAGAGGGUGGUCCCCCACACUGGUACUGAGACACGGACCAGACUCCUACGGGAGGCAGCAGUGAGGAAUAUUGGUCAAUGGGCGCAAAGCCUGAACCAGCCAUCCCGCGUGCAGGAAGACGGCCCUAUGGGUUGUAAACUGCUUUUCCAGGGAGAGAAACUUACGCACGUGUUGCGUGACUGACGGUACCCUGGGAAUAAGCAUCGGCUAACUCCGUG
Molecule: ribosomal RNA, 488 nt
Filed under: uncultured bacterium
Lineage: Bacteria
Description: bacterial SSU rRNA
Rfam family: Bacterial small subunit ribosomal RNA
Source: RNAcentral